Molecule: non-coding RNA, 73 nt
Organism: Protopterus annectens (West African lungfish)
Lineage: Eukaryota; Metazoa; Chordata; Ceratodontiformes; Protopteridae
Source: the annotation of a RefSeq genome assembly
GCCCGGCUAGCUCAGUUGGUAGAGCAUGACACUCUUCAUCUCAAGAUUGUGGGUUUGAACCCCAUGUUGAGCA